RNAcentral lists this ribosomal RNA (497 nucleotides) under uncultured bacterium. Its description in RNAcentral is "partial 16S ribosomal RNA". It matches the Rfam family "Bacterial small subunit ribosomal RNA", at positions 28 to 507 of the family's 1533-position model. The record is from RNAcentral.
GAUGAACGCUGGCGGCGUGCCUAAUACAUGCAAGUCGAGCGAACAGACGAGGAGCUUGCUCCUCUGACGUUAGCGGCGGACGGGUGAGUAACACGUGGAUAACCUACCUAUAAGACUGGGAUAACUUCGGGAAACCGGAGCUAAUACCGGAUAAUAUAUUGAACCGCAUGGUUCAAUAGUGAAAGACGGUUUUGCUGUCACUUAUAGAUGGAUCCGCGCCGCAUUAGCUAGUUGGUAAGGUAACGGCUUACCAAGGCAACGAUGCGUAGCCGACCGGAAAGAGUGAUCGGCUACCCUGGGUCUGUGACAAGGUCCAGACUCCUACGAGACGCAUCUGUAGGUAGUCUUUCGUACUCGGCGGAAUCUCGCGGUGACUACGUCGCCUGUGUGAGUAUCGACGCCGUUACGUAUGACACUGUUGUUUGUGGAAAUCAUAUGUGUACGUAACCAUGCACGCCUUGCCGGUACAUGCAGAUAAAGAACCGGCUCACGACGUU